Molecule: non-coding RNA, 217 nt
Filed under: Lachnospiraceae bacterium
Lineage: Bacteria; Bacillati; Bacillota; Clostridia; Lachnospirales; Lachnospiraceae
Description: 6S RNA
Rfam family: 6S / SsrS RNA
About the family: E. coli 6S RNA was the first non coding RNA to be sequenced, but its function was unknown until recently.
Source: RNAcentral
UAACGCCUGGGGCGUGCGACAAUCCCUGUUUUAUUUGAACCUACAUCUACUUUAAAUGGGAGUCCGACGUCACGAAGUCCUAUGUCAGGCCGCCGCCGAUAAAAAGGACACGGGGCAAGACCCCGCGUAGGAGCGGAAGACAGAAGAUUAGUUUGGGAUACCCACCUAGCUUUUGCUAGGAGUCAAUGGGCAGGGGUAUCGGCGUCUUGGGUUAUUU